This is a small nucleolar RNA of Nematolebias whitei (Rio pearlfish), 297 nucleotides long. The record is from RefSeq and is a predicted model, not a curated record. Lineage: Eukaryota; Metazoa; Chordata; Actinopteri; Cyprinodontiformes; Rivulidae.
AUCCACUGAUGAAAUUAUGGCAAGCUUCAUGAUCCAGCCAAACCAAGAGACUACGGUUCUUAGUCUGCUGUCAGGUGGGUAAUCUUGGUAGUGUGGUGGAGUUUUAUUACACUGCUGUAAGGGCUCACCUAUAGUGAAACUGUCACCUCCUACAGCCUUUGCCCUUCUAAAAGAAAUUGGAUGGGAUAAAUAGGAGAUGUCAAACAGUAAGUGUAUAUGUGUCAGCUGACAAAAGGCUGUAGUCUCUGUCUACUUGGUUUGGUAGGUAUGAAUAACGUCUUUGGUAAUCUGAGGAUA